Amphibalanus amphitrite is the source of this 288-nucleotide long non-coding RNA. RefSeq lists it as uncharacterized. The record is from RefSeq and is a predicted model, not a curated record. The transcript has 2 exons. Lineage: Eukaryota; Metazoa; Arthropoda; Thecostraca; Balanomorpha; Balanidae.
AAGUGAUGGAAAAUUAGGUAUAAGUACCGUAAUUUUGGGGAGCCAUGUUCCCGCCCCAGCGGCUAACCGCAUCAAGAUAUACGGAUUUGUUUUUGACUGGCAUUUGUCUUUCAGGUGUCGCAUAUGUGUGCCUUGCCUCUGAUAGCUGACUACUGUGCUUGGUAGCCACAUUGACUGCACGCACGACCACUCACAAUCCCGGACGAAUUAUAACGGUCAUCACGGUCUGCGACUACUGUGGGCCCACCGACUACAAGCCCUGAUCACAAUAAAUCUUGUAGAACUCUG